GGAUGAGUGAGUGAGCCUGGCUGAAACUAGCAGUUUACUAAACUGCCGUACUCGAAAGAGUACCGUGGGUCCGAAUCCCACCUCAUCCGC
RNAcentral lists this transfer RNA (90 nucleotides) under uncultured archaeon. Its description in RNAcentral is "tRNA-Ser". It matches the Rfam family "tRNA". From Rfam's summary of the family: Transfer RNA (tRNA) molecules are approximately 80 nucleotides in length. Their secondary structure includes four short double-helical elements and three loops (D, anti-codon, and T loops). The record is from RNAcentral.